GACGAACGCUGGCGGCGUGCUUAACACAUGCAAGUCGAACGGAAAGGCCCUGCUUGCAGGGUACUCGAGUGGCGAACGGGUGAGUAACACGUGGGUGAUCUGCCCUGCACUUCGGGAUAAGCCUGGGAAACUGGGUCUAAUACCGGAUAGGAGCCAUUUUUAGUGUGAUGGUUGGAAAGUUUUUUCGGUGUAGGAUGAGCUCGCGGCCUAUCAGCUUGUUGGUGGGGUAAUGGCCUACCAAGGCGGCGACGGGUAGCCGGCCUGAGAGGGUGGACGGCCACAUUGGGACUGAGAUACGGCCCAGACUCCUACGGGAGGCAGCAGUGGGGAAUAUUGCACAAUGGGCGCAAGCCUGAUGCAGCGACGCCGCGUGGGGGAUGACGGCCUUCGGGUUGUAAACUCCUUUCGCUAGGGACGAAGCUUUUGUGACGGUACCUAGAUAAGAAGCACCGGCUAACUACGUGCCAGCAGCCGCCGUAA
RNAcentral lists this ribosomal RNA (480 nucleotides) under uncultured bacterium. Its description in RNAcentral is "partial 16S ribosomal RNA". It matches the Rfam family "Bacterial small subunit ribosomal RNA", at positions 28 to 523 of the family's 1533-position model. The record is from RNAcentral.